GAGGGUACAGCUCAGUGGUAGAGCACCUGCUUAGCAGGCACUGGGUUCAAACUCCAGUAUCUCCA
Molecule: transfer RNA, 65 nt
Filed under: Camelus bactrianus (Bactrian camel)
Lineage: Eukaryota; Metazoa; Chordata; Mammalia; Artiodactyla; Camelidae
Also listed under: 1 other name
Rfam family: tRNA
About the family: Transfer RNA (tRNA) molecules are approximately 80 nucleotides in length. Their secondary structure includes four short double-helical elements and three loops (D, anti-codon, and T loops). Further hydrogen bonds mediate the characteristic L-shaped molecular structure. tRNAs have two regions of fundamental functional importance: the anti-codon, which is responsible for specific mRNA codon recognition, and the 3' end, to which the tRNAs corresponding amino acid is attached (by aminoacyl-tRNA synthetases). tRNAs cope with the degeneracy of the genetic code in two manners: having more than one tRNA (with a specific anti-codon) for a particular amino acid; and 'wobble' base-pairing, i.e. permitting non-standard base-pairing at the 3rd anti-codon position.
Source: Rfam by way of RNAcentral